UUCUCUUGUUUCCCUUUUUAACACGAAUAAAUGUUUUGCCUUUUAUUAAAGAUUUCCGUGGAAGAGAACACUACAGAGUAUUUUUCUACAAAAUCUAGGUAUGAUAUAGUGCCUUAAAAAU
Aphidius gifuensis is the source of this 121-nucleotide small nuclear RNA. RefSeq annotates it as U5 spliceosomal RNA. The transcript has a single exon. The record is from RefSeq and is a predicted model, not a curated record. NCBI's taxonomy places the organism in Eukaryota, Metazoa, Arthropoda, Insecta, Hymenoptera, Braconidae.